Salvia hispanica is the source of this 1097-nucleotide long non-coding RNA. RefSeq lists it as uncharacterized. The record is from RefSeq and is a predicted model, not a curated record. Lineage: Eukaryota; Viridiplantae; Streptophyta; Magnoliopsida; Lamiales; Lamiaceae.
UAUCCCAUGCUCUCAAUCAGAUUAAAGUAUAAAACUUUAAAGGAUUCCCCCUAUAAAAAUACCCCCACUCCAUAACAUUAAUAAAGUAAUGUUACUACCUACUCCUCUAUCUGCACCAAUCACCCUUCUCUUUCUCUUCCAUUUUGAAGCUUUUCUGUAAAAAUGGCGGACACUGCUCUUGACCUAUUAUGCUGGUUCCGUUGGUAGCUAUUUCUUAAUGUCUCUUAAAAUAGACCAAUUCAAUUUAGAAAAUCCUUUUUUUUUAUUGAAAUUUUUUUUCAUUCUCCACUUACAUUGCUCCAAUCAAUUUUUUUUUCUAUCUCUUUCUUAUUUUACCAAUUGUGUAUUUAAAACCCGUAACUCUUCAAAUAUUGUACCCAAACCUUGGCAUAGGUUUUUAUUUUAAACUUAAUAUGGAAGUCAAGGCCGGCUUGGGGUCUUCUUCUUCAACAUCAAAGCCAAGAGCUCAUACUAGAAGAAGGGGCAUGAGGCCACAGGAGCUGUAUAAUGUUUUGCUUCCAAACUAGGAAAAGAUUCAACAACUUUCAAAAUUGUUUAAGAUUAUGCUCAAGCGCGUGAUGUAUGGCUCAAACCUACCGAUAAUUUUAGAUGGUAGUCGCAGUAAUAGUACUAGUAUUUAUUUUUUCGCCUAAAUAUAUAUGGUUCGGGUUUUCUUUACUUGGUUCUUUCCCGAAUCUUAUUGUCGAACCAAGUAUAUACAGUUCGAGAAAGCUUCUUUCCCGGACUGUACUAGUCGAACUUAUCUUGUAAUUGUCGUCAUUUAUCUAUUGGAUGGUUCGAGUUUUCUUUAAUUGGUUCUUUCCCGAACCUUAAUGUCGAACCAUGGUUCGACAACAAGGUUCGGAGCAUGGUUUGACAAUAAGGUUCAGGAAAGAACCAAGUAAAGAAAACCCGAACCAUCCAAUAGAUAAAUGGCGACAAUUACAAGAUAAGUUCGACUAGUACAAUCCCGAAAAGAAGCUUUCCCGAACUUAUCUUGUAAUUGUCGUCGUUUCUCUAUUGGAUCAGAUCAAUUUGUUUUCUUGUAUUUGUACUAUUUCAUUUCCUUUUUUUAGUAAAAACUUUAUCAUCUCUCA